CCCCCACCAGCCCAAGCCGCUGCUGGGCGAUCCGCUUGAUCUGGGUGCGAUCCUUGUCCUGCGGAUAGGUCCUGUAGACAUCGAUCAGCGCAGAAAUGUCCUGCACCACCGCGGCGGAUAGGCGCCGCGUCACCGUGUUCCAGUGCCGCUCCAUGAAUUGCAGGAUCACCAUCGGCACGAUGAUGAUCAGCAGUGCGCGGGCAUAAAGCCCCUUCGG
This 217-nucleotide unclassified non-coding RNA is filed under the name Hevea brasiliensis (rubber tree). Lineage: Eukaryota; Viridiplantae; Streptophyta; Magnoliopsida; Malpighiales; Euphorbiaceae. The record is from RNAcentral.